AGUUUUGCUGGUUUGCAUUCAGCUUUUAAGACUGUGCGCUGUGCAAAUCCAUGCAAAACUGA
Molecule: microRNA precursor, 62 nt
Organism: Carassius auratus (goldfish)
Lineage: Eukaryota; Metazoa; Chordata; Actinopteri; Cypriniformes; Cyprinidae
Gene: dre-mir-19b
Product: microRNA 19b-1
Source: Ensembl